AUUGAACGCUGGCGGCAGGCCUAACACAUGCAAGUCGAGCGGAUGAAGGGAGCUUGCUCCUGGAUUCAGCGGCGGACGGGUGAGUAAUGCCUAGGAAUCUGCCUGGUAGUAGGGGAUAACGUCCGGAAACGGGCGCUAAUACCGCAUACGUCCUGAGGGAGAAAGUGGGGGAUCUUCGGGCCUCACGCUAUCAGAUGAGCCUAGGUCGGAUUAGCUAGUUGGUGGGGUAAAGGCCUACCAAGGCGACGAUCCGUAACUGGUCUGAGAGGAUGAUCAGUCACACGGGAACUGAGACACGGUCCAGACUCCUACGGGAGGCAGCAGUGGGGAAUAUUGGACAAUGGUCGAAAGCCUGAUCCAGCCAGGCCGCGUGUGUGAAGAAGGUCUUCGGAUUGUAAAGCACUUUAAGUUGGGAGGAAGGGCAGUAAGUUAAUACCUUGCUGUUUUGACGGUACCAACAGAAUAAGCACCGGCUAACUUCGUG
RNAcentral lists this ribosomal RNA (484 nucleotides) under uncultured bacterium. RNAcentral describes it as "partial 16S ribosomal RNA". It matches the Rfam family "Bacterial small subunit ribosomal RNA", at positions 30 to 507 of the family's 1533-position model. The record is from RNAcentral.